ACACAUGCAAGUCGAGGGGCAGCGGGAUUGAAGCUUGCUUCAAUUGCCGGCGACCGGCGCACGGGUGAGUAACGCGUAUCCAACCUUCCGUACACUCAGGGAUAGCCUUUCGAAAGAAAGAUUAAUACCUGAUGGUAUGAUGAGAUUGCAUGAUAGCAUCAUUAAAGAUUUAUCGGUGUACGAUGGGGAUGCGUUCCAUUAGGUAGUGGGCGGGGUAACGGCCCACCUAGCCAACGAUGGAUAGGGGUUCUGAGAGGAAGGUCCCCCACAUUGGAACUGAGACACGGUCCAAACUCCUACGGGAGGCAGCAGUGAGGAAUAUUGGUCAAUGGACGAGAGUCUGAACCAGCCAAGUAGCGUGAAGGAUGAAGGUCUUACGGAUUGUAAACUUCUUUUAUAAGGGAAUAAAACCUCCCACGUGUGGGAGCUUGUAUGUACCUUAUGAAUAAGCAUCGGCUAACUCCGUGCCAGCAGCCGCGGUAAUACGGAGGAUGCGAGCGUUAUCCGGAUUUAUUGGGUUUAAAGGGAGCGCAGACGGGUCGUUAAGUCAGCUGUGAAAGUUUGGGGCUCAACCUUAAAAUUGCAGUUGAUACUGGCGUCCUUGAGUGCGGUUGAGGUGUGCGGAAUUCGUGGUGUAGCGGUGAAAUGCUUAGAUAUCACGAAGAACUCCGAUUGCGAAGGCAGCACACUAAGCCGUAACUGACGUUCAUGCUCGAAAGUGUGGGUAUCAAACAGGAUUAGAUACCCUGGUAGUCCACACGGUAAACGAUGGAUACUCGCUGUUGGCGAUAUACGGUCAGCGGCUUAGCGAAAGCGUUAAGUAUCCCACCUGGGG
This 835-nucleotide ribosomal RNA is filed under the name uncultured bacterium. RNAcentral describes it as "bacterial SSU rRNA". It matches the Rfam family "Bacterial small subunit ribosomal RNA", at positions 51 to 878 of the family's 1533-position model. The record is from RNAcentral.